RNAcentral lists this ribosomal RNA (496 nucleotides) under uncultured bacterium. RNAcentral describes it as "bacterial SSU rRNA". It matches the Rfam family "Bacterial small subunit ribosomal RNA", at positions 29 to 517 of the family's 1533-position model. The record is from RNAcentral.
AAUGAACGUUGGCGACGUGGAUUAGGCAUGCAAGUCGAGCGAGAAUUUGCGAUUGGAAGCUUCGGCCGAAGAAAGUGAAGGAAAGCGGCAAACGGCGUAGUAAGGCGUAGGUACGUACCCUCGGGUCGGGAAUAGCCAUGGGAAACUGUGGGUAAUGCCCGAUAAUCUCUGCGGAGCAAAGGUGUGAUUCCGCCGGAGGAGCGGCUUACGUGAUAUUAGCUAGUUGGUGGGGUAAUGGCCUACCAAGGCAACGAUGUCUAGGGGGUGUGAGAGCAUGGCCCCCACGACCGGAACUGAGACACUGUCCGGACACCUACGGGUGGCUGCAGUCGAGAAUCUUCCGCAAUGGGCGAAAGCCUGACGGAGCGACGCCGCGUGGUGGAUGAAGGCCCUUGGGUUGUAAACACCUGUCAGAGGGGAUGAAAUCAUGGUUGGCAAUCCUUCCAUGUUGACAGAGCCUCAGAGGAAGCACGGGCUAAGUACGUGCCAGCAGCCG